Molecule: ribosomal RNA, 539 nt
Filed under: uncultured bacterium
Lineage: Bacteria
Description: bacterial SSU rRNA
Rfam family: Bacterial small subunit ribosomal RNA
Source: RNAcentral
UGAGGAAUAUUGGUCAAUGGACGGAAGUCUGAACCAGCCAAGUAGCGUGCAGGAUGACGGCCCUAUGGGUUGUAAACUGCUUUUGUAUGGGGAUAAAGUUAGGGACGUGUCCCUAUUUGCAGGUACCAUACGAAUAAGGACCGGCUAAUUCCGUGCCAGCAGCCGCGGUAAUACGGAAGGUCCAGGCGUUAUCCGGAUUUAUUGGGUUUAAAGGGAGCGUAGGCUGGAGAUUAAGUGUGUUGUGAAAUGUAGACGCUCAACGUCUGAAUUGCAGCGCAUACUGGUUUCCUUGAGUACGCACGACGUUGGCGGAAUUCGUCGUGUAGCGGUGAAAUGCUUAGAUAUGACGAAGAACUCCGAUUGCGAAGGCAGCUGACGGGAGCGCAACUGACGCUUAAGCUCGAAGGUGCGGGUAUCAAACAGGAUUAGAUACCCUGGUAGUCCGCACAGUAAACGAUGGAUGCCCGCUGUUGGUACCUGGUAUCAGCGGCUAAGCGAAAGCAUUAAGCAUCCCACCUGGGGAGUACGCCGGCNACGGU